Molecule: ribosomal RNA, 898 nt
Filed under: Clavibacter phaseoli
Lineage: Bacteria; Bacillati; Actinomycetota; Actinomycetes; Micrococcales; Microbacteriaceae
Description: partial 23S ribosomal RNA
Rfam family: Bacterial large subunit ribosomal RNA
Source: RNAcentral
UGUUGGUGUGACAGCGUGCCUUUUGAAGAAUGAGCCUGCGAGUUAGUGAUAUGUGGCGAGGUUAACCCGUGAGGGGCAGCCGUAGCGAAAGCGAGUCUUAAUAGGGCGUAUGAGUCGCAUGUUCUAGACCCGAAGCGAAGUGAUCUAUCCAUGGCCAGGUUGAAGCGACGGUAAGACGUCGUGGAGGACCGAACCCACUUCAGUUGAAAAUGGAGGGGAUGAGCUGUGGAUAGGGGUGAAAGGCCAAUCAAACUUCGUGAUAGCUGGUUCUCUCCGAAAUGCAUUUAGGUGCAGCGUUGCGUGUUUCUUGCCGGAGGUAGAGCUACUGGAUGGACGAUGGGCCCCAAAAGGUUACUGACUUCAGCCAAACUCCGAAUGCCGGUAAGUGAGAGCGCAGCAGUGAGACGGUGGGGGAUAAGCUUCAUCGUCGAGAGGGAAACAACCCAGACCACCAUCUAAGGUCCCUAAGCGCGUGCUAAGUGGGAAAGGAUGUGGAGUUGCAUAGACAACCAGGAGGUUGGCUUAGAAGCAGCCACCCUUGAAAGAGUGCGUAAUAGCUCACUGGUCAAGUGAUUCCGCGCCGACAAUGUAACGGGGCUCAAGCACGCCACCGAAGUUGUGGCAUUUAUAUUAUAGGCAGGCCUUCGUGGUCCAGCCGUAUGGAUGGGUAGGAGAGCGUCGUGUGGCCAGCGAAGCGGCGGUGUGAACCAGCCGUGGAGGCCACACGAGUGAGAAUGCAGGCAUGAGUAGCGAAAGACGGGUGAGAAACCCGUCCUCCGAAAGACCAAGGGUUCCAGGGCCAGGCUAAUCCGCCCUGGGUAAGUCGGGACCUAAGGCGAGGCCGACAGGCGUAGUCGAUGGACAACGGGUUGAUAUUCCCGUACCGAUGAAGAACCGC